AUCACUUCUCAGCCUUUUGGCUAAGAUCAAGUGUAGUAUCUGUUCUCACCAGUUUAAUAUCUGAUACAUCCUCUCUUCGAGGACAUUAUAUUAAAUGGAUUUUUGGAGUAGGGAGUUGCAAUAAGAGUUUGCUCUGUCCACUCCAUGUGUCAACCCAGUAUCUCUGUAUCUCCAGCAUUGCAGUAUCUCAC
This is a small nuclear RNA of Manis pentadactyla (Chinese pangolin), 191 nucleotides long. RefSeq annotates it as U2 spliceosomal RNA. Lineage: Eukaryota; Metazoa; Chordata; Mammalia; Pholidota; Manidae. The transcript has a single exon. The record is from RefSeq and is a predicted model, not a curated record.